AUACAGAGGGUGCAAACGUUGCUCGGAAUUACUGGGCGUAAAGCGCGUGUAGGCGGAUUCGAAAGUCGGGUGUGAAAUCCCUGGGCUCAACCCGGGAACUGCAUCCGAAACUUCGUGUCUAGAGUGAUGGAGAGGAAAGCGGAAUUAUUGGUGUAGAGGUGAAAUUCGUAGAUAUCAAUAGGAACACCAGUGGCGAAGGCGGCUUUCUGGACAUUUACUGACGCUGAGACGCGAAAGCAUGGGGAGCAAACAGGAUUAGAAACCCUAGUAGUCC
RNAcentral lists this ribosomal RNA (274 nucleotides) under uncultured bacterium. RNAcentral describes it as "partial 16S ribosomal RNA". It matches the Rfam family "Bacterial small subunit ribosomal RNA", at positions 523 to 796 of the family's 1533-position model. The record is from RNAcentral.